UCAAGAGUUUGAUCCUGGCUCCGAAUGAACGCUAGCAAGAAGCUUAACACAUGCAAGUUGAACGGUACCUGGUACCGUAGCGAACGGGUGCGUAACGCGUGAGAAUCUACCUUUAAGCUGGGGCAUAAGUUCUUAGAACGAAUACCCAAUAUAACGAAAGCCGCAAGUGCACUUAAAGAUGAGCUCGCGUAGGAUUAGGUAGUUGGCGGGGUAAAGGCCCACCAAGCCGAAGAUCCUUAGCUGAUUUGAGAGGAUGAUCAGCCACACUGGAACUGAGACACGGUCCAGACACUUUCGAGUGGCAGCAGUGAGGAAUAUUGGACAAUGGGCGCAAGCCUGAUCCAGCUAUCUUGCAUGAGGGAAGAAGGCGUUAUUUGUCGUAAACCUCUGCCUUAAACUGAUAAUGAUGAUGCAGGUUUAAGUAAAAGUCCCGGCUAACUCCGUGCCAGCAGCCGCGGUAAUACGGAGGGGGCGAGCGUUAUUCAAAAUGACUGGGCGUAAAGAGCAUGUAGGCGGAUUACUUUCCGUGUGUCCGGACCACCUUUGGUGUUCCCGUGGAUAGUGUGGGGUCUUCGGACCGUACACGAGUGAUAAAGUCCUACUGGAAGGUAGGUGCCUCACCAUAUGUGGUAAUCUCGAGUAAGUGAGAGGAUAAUGGAAUUCCUAAAGGAGAGGUGAAAUUCGUAGAUAUUAGGAGGAAGGCCGAAAGCGAAGGCAAUUAUCUGGCACUUGAUGGCAUAUCACUCCGCUUAAGCGGAGUUACUGACGCUGAGAUGCGAAGGCGUGGGGAUCAAAAAGGAUUAGAGACCCUAGUAGUCCACGCAGUCAACGAUGAAGAUUCACUUUUAGCUCCUGGGAUCGAUUUCACGGUUUUCUGUGGCAUCCUAGGAUGUAGAGGUCUAGCUAACGCGUUAAAUCUUCCGCCUGAGGAGUACGACCGCAAGGUUAAAACUCAAAGGAAUAGACGGGGGCUCAUACAAGUGGUGGAACAUGUGGUUUAAUUCGAAACAACGCGCAAAACCUUACCAGUCCUUGACAUGGC
This 1042-nucleotide ribosomal RNA is filed under the name uncultured bacterium. Its description in RNAcentral is "bacterial SSU rRNA". It matches the Rfam family "Bacterial small subunit ribosomal RNA", at positions 1 to 990 of the family's 1533-position model. The record is from RNAcentral.